GGAAGGAUCAUUAACACUCCAAGAGUCGCGGCAACGCGAUUUUUGAAAUAUCCACCGUGAACUGAGAAACUCAAAAGGAGGGUUUGAUAACCAAACCCCCGUUUCACCCCUUCAUCUUUUACUUUUUGAUCUGAACUUGUCUGAAACUUAUAAAAGUUGCGAUUUUAUUGAAAAAUAAAAGACAACUUUUGGCAGUGGAUAUCUUGGCUCCUGCAUCGAUGAAGAACGCAGCAAAAUGCGAUACGUCGUGUGAAUCGCAGAACUCUGUGAAUCAUCAAACUUUUGAACGCACCUUGCGGUCCGGCGGGGGGCAACUCUCGACGGACCAUGCCUGUUUCAGAAUUGGUAACCCCUCUCAACAACGCAAGUUGUUGGAAUUGAGGUCGAUGAGAAGCAAUUUUCAUCUUCCUUGCAUUACCAAGCAAGCCAUUAUAAAGAAAGCUACAACUGCCGUUCAGGACUUGAGUUGUCCUUUUCGGGUUUCUGGGCUACUGCUAGGAAGCUAGAAGCAAUUCUUGCGACCCUGUGGCUCUUCCGAAAAGACUUCUGAGGUUGUGAAUGGUGUUAGAUCCUUCUUUCGGCUUGGCACACAAAUCAUAUUUCCCCAUUCAAAUCUGAAAUCAGACAAGAAUACCCGCUGAACUUAAGCAUAUUAUUAAGCGGAGGAAAAGAAACUAACAAGGAUUCCCCUAGUAGCAGCGAGUGAAGAGGGAACAGCUCAGGGUUGAAAUCGGCAUGGGAGCUUCACCGCAUCUCGUGUCGAGUUGUACCUUUGAGAGGUGUGCUUGGGAUUCCCGCCAGGUAUAAGUGCCCUUUGAAUGGGCCAUCAUAGAGGGUUAUAAUCCCGUCUUUGACCUGGACGAAAUGGAAGGAAGUUCCAACACGGCACAUCAUCAGCGAGUCGGGUUGUUUGGGAGUACAGCCCUAAGUGGGUGGUAGGUUUCAUCUAAAGCUAAAUACAGGCAGGAGACCGAUAGCGAACAAGUACCGCGAGGGAAAGAUGAAAAGAACUUUGAAAAGAGAGUUAAAUAGUCCUUGAAGCUGCCAAAAGGACAAGCGACUGUCACUGUCGUUUGCUGCCAUCAAUCCGUUCGAACCUGGAUGCAAUUCUUAGGUUUGGUCAAAGCUCUCUGGGCUUGGCUGGGCUUGAGAAGGGUGUUUGGAGCGGGCUAGGAUUGGUGGAUAGUCGGCCAAAGGUGGUUCUGUCUUCUUUCUUACGCGUGUGUAGUGCCCAGGAAGGUGGACCCGCAGGGCUUGCUCUUGUGGGUAGCUUAUAGCCUGGAGCGCGAAGCGCUGGUAGUGGGACCAUUCCGCAGCGCCUUAGUGCGUUGCUCAGCGGAGGGUCGUACUGGAGUUCUUUCUGUCCAGAUGUGCACACCUUGAGCUUGCUCCUCACGGACAGGGUCUUGGAGUGUUCGGUUUGGUCACGGGGGCAUCAGUACGCCUUCGCGUAACUUUGGCAUAUGACGGUGUCAGUUGUCCCGUCUUGAAACACGGACCAAGGAGUGUAACCUAUAUGCGAGUAUUUGGGUGUUAAAACCUGCUCCGUUAAGGGAGCCAUUGAGAAAUGCGUACUGAAAGGGAAGGGUCUCUUACGAGGCCUGAGGUAGGAAUCGUCGGAAUUCCGACGAGGCACUAUCGACCGAUCUGGAUGAUUCGUCUGAAGGAUUUGAGUGAGAGCAUAUCUGUUACGACCCGAAAGACGGUGAACUAUGCGUGUCUAGGGUGAAGCCAGAGGAAACUCUGGUGGAGGCUCGUAGCGAUACUGACGUGCAAAUCGUUCGUCAAAGAUGCGUAUAGGGGCGAAAGACUAAUCGAACCGUCUAGUAGCUGGUUCCCUC
RNAcentral lists this unclassified non-coding RNA (1841 nucleotides) under uncultured fungus. RNAcentral describes it as "sequence contains 18S rRNA gene, ITS1, 5.8S rRNA gene, ITS2, 28S rRNA gene". The stretch from base 611 to 1841 matches the Rfam family "Eukaryotic large subunit ribosomal RNA", at positions 1 to 961 of the family's 3401-position model. The record is from RNAcentral. Lineage: Eukaryota; Fungi.